This 607-nucleotide ribosomal RNA is filed under the name Enterobacter ludwigii. RNAcentral's name for it is "bacterial SSU rRNA". It matches the Rfam family "Bacterial small subunit ribosomal RNA", at positions 70 to 671 of the family's 1533-position model. The record is from RNAcentral. Lineage: Bacteria; Pseudomonadati; Pseudomonadota; Gammaproteobacteria; Enterobacterales; Enterobacteriaceae.
CACAGAGAGCUUGCUCUCGGGUGACGAGUGGCGGACGGGUGAGUAAUGUCUGGGAAACUGCCUGAUGGAGGGGGAUAACUACUGGAAACGGUAGCUAAUACCGCAUAACGUCGCAAGACCAAAGAGGGGGACCUUCGGGCCUCUUGCCAUCAGAUGUGCCCAGAUGGGAUUAGCUAGUAGGUGGGGUAACGGCUCACCUAGGCGACGAUCCCUAGCUGGUCUGAGAGGAUGACCAGCCACACUGGAACUGAGACACGGUCCAGACUCCUACGGGAGGCAGCAGUGGGGAAUAUUGCACAAUGGGCGCAAGCCUGAUGCAGCCAUGCCGCGUGUAUGAAGAAGGCCUUCGGGUUGUAAAGUACUUUCAGCGGGGAGGAAGGUGUUGUGGUUAAUAACCGCAGCAAUUGACGUUACCCGCAGAAGAAGCACCGGCUAACUCCGUGCCAGCAUCCGCGGUAAUACGGAGGGUGCAAGCGUUAAUCGGAAUUACUGGGCGUAAAGCGCACGCAGGCGGUCUGUCAAGUCGGAUGUGAAAUCCCCGGGCUCAACCUGGGAACUGCAUUCAAAACUGGCAGGCUCGAGUCUUGUAGAAGGGGGUAGAAUUCCA